Molecule: long non-coding RNA, 696 nt
Filed under: Panax ginseng (ginseng)
Lineage: Eukaryota; Viridiplantae; Streptophyta; Magnoliopsida; Apiales; Araliaceae
Description: long non-coding RNA (PGIN_LNC014612)
Source: RNAcentral
UCGUUCAAGGUUACAAUUUUAAGCCUACACAUUAAUUUAACAUAAUAGAAGAUAAGAUUUCUGAAGUUUUCUUUUUGAUCGCUUUCAAUCAGAAGCGAAAUCAGGAGGGGUUGAGGGGGGGCAUAUGACCCCCCUAGGAUGAAGUUUACUGCUGUUGCCGCCUGCCGCCUGCUGCUGCCGCUGCCGCUGCCGCCUGCUCCUGCCGCAUAAAUCUGGGAUGAGAGAGAAGGGUUGGGGUGAUGGAAGAGAGAAAAAAAGGUGAUGAACUGGUUAGCUGGGGACAGAUGGUGGGUUCUGACUGGCAGCAGGGUAGUAGUAGUCAUUUGAACGAGCUACCUGGGGUCUGGCCGAAAGAGAAUCAAUUCUAUUCUGUUGUGUCGUCGAUGGUGCCGGUGGUGGUGCCGGCUGUGGUCAAACGGUGAGCAACUGAGAGAGUCUCUCUUUGUAAUCCUAUUCUAUUGGUUGUUGGCAAGUUGCAUGGAUCAUUGUCAUUAUAUUUGAUUUGUCGAUUCCCCUUUUUAUUUUUCUUGUUCUUUUUUGUUUUAUAAUUUUCGGUUAUUUUCCUUUAUUUAUAGUGUAUUUGUAUUUACCGUUUACUUUUUGGACAUCUAAUAAAAAUGUCUACAUUUUGAGAGGAAAUUAUGUAAGGACAAUGUCUUGCACUUUAAUUACAAGUUUUUACAAUUAUAUAAUGGG